CCCCUCCUUUCUCUCUCCUCCACUUUCUUAGAUUUCAUUCAGGAUGGUACUUCGGUACUCCUAAGUUCAGCAUUAUUGGGCAACAUUUGGGGGUCUUUGCCUUUUGGCCAAAAUAUCACCCCAGGGUCAGUCUAUCGACCCCAUCAUUAGGUUUUGUAUAUAUUUAUAUCUUAUGGUCAUAUUUGGCACUAUAUCGCACAUCUUUUUAGGGAAGCCUAUUAAGAUGUACUUGGUCAACCAUACACUGGGGGCAGCAUUC
RNAcentral lists this long non-coding RNA (259 nucleotides) under Elaeis guineensis (African oil palm). Its description in RNAcentral is "long non-coding RNA (EGUI_LNC031997)". Lineage: Eukaryota; Viridiplantae; Streptophyta; Magnoliopsida; Arecales; Arecaceae. The record is from RNAcentral.